Molecule: long non-coding RNA, 4229 nt
Filed under: Papio anubis (olive baboon)
Lineage: Eukaryota; Metazoa; Chordata; Mammalia; Primates; Cercopithecidae
Description: lncRNA (ENSPANG00000047255.1)
Source: RNAcentral
AAUUAGUGCUCUACCAGGGCUGUCUGUGAUUGCAGUUCAGAUGUGGUUAUCCUGUCAAGGUUAACUCCUUUUCAAUUGAAUGCACAGCUUCAGAAAGAUGAUGAGUGGUGAUGAGAAAGAUGAUAGCACCUCAUCAGCCAGAUGGGCAGUAUCAAUUCUGGUGAUCAAUGGAAUGACAGAUGCUGUUGCCAAAUCACACUCCUUCUCUAACCUGAAGGCUGAUGUCAGCUUAAUUAACUGGGUCACCAUGUGUUUUUCAGGUCAGCAGUGAAAAUCAAGACAAAGGACCUUAGGAAGAGAGGAACAGAAUAUCUCGGUCAUCUAAAAGUGCAAUCCUGCCCCAGUGGCUACUGAGAAGGCACUGACUGGCUACCUAUUGACAGGCCCCCAGACAGAAAGUCAGGGACCCUGGUGAGAGUCAUGUACGUUGUACCAGCCCUUUUGAACUCCUGGCCUCAAGCAAUCCUCCUGCCUCAGCCUCCCAAGUAGUUGGGAUUACAGAAGUCUACCCUCUACAGAAUGAAUCAACUGGGCUCCAUCUUCCUCUGCCUUUCAUUGGUAAGGUAGGGAGUUCCCCCGCUCUUUCUUGCCUAAGCCUCAGACUAGUGGUGGCUUUGUUUCUUUCCCAAAGGCCACAGCUCCUAUUGGGCAGGGUUCUGGCAAUAUCUGCACCCGUACCUCACCUUUUCCAGUCUGGGCUCAAUGGUGACAUGCAAUCACUGAGGUUGAUAUAUUGGAAUGUCCUCGGAAUACUGUGUAGGUAGCAGACCAAAGGCUUAGGAAGAGAGAAAUGCUGAGAUAGACUGCGUGCAAGCUGCUAAGCCACCAGCUACCAGUACAUCAGGGAGGUCUGCAGGUCUUUUUUCCUAAGACAUUAGGAAAUACAUUAGUGAAAGGAAAGGAGCACCAGCAUCCUUGAAAAGUUCUGUGACUGUUUUCUCUGGGCUGGAAUGAGGGUAGGAGACUCUGCAGUGGAGUUAGUUUCCUGUUUGAUUUCAACGGCAAUAACAGAAUCCUGGAGUGGUGGAGGCCAGGCGGCAGCAAGACAAGGAGAGUGCAUUUCUCUAACAAGCCACAAGGACUCCUGAGUAGAAAUAAGAGGUUUUGACCUGCAGGGAUCUGUGAAGGUGGCUUAUUGAUCAUGGCGUCCUUAGGAAUAAGAAAUAGGCAGAUUUCUAAGGUACUACUUGAUCUGAUAAGGAGGAAAAAUGCUAGGAAAGGUGGGCAAAAGUCUGGCCUGGUCUCGUGCAUUUCCCAGAUCUAAGACAGUACAUCGGCUUGGGAGCCCCUUGAUUGAGGAGGAGGAAGGGCCUAUUGAGGAAGGACUCUGCAAUGGGACCACAAACCUUCCUUAGAGGAACUUAAAAUCCUUUACCAGGGUGACUAUACAAUGGAAAAAGUUUAUACCCAAACUCUCCCGGAAUUACUAGAUAUUGGCUCUAAAGUUAUGUUAGCUGUGUGCAGUACCUCAUGCAUGUAAUCCCAGCACUUUGGUAGGCCAAGGCUAGAGGACUGCCUGAGCACAGGAGUUUGAGGUUACAGUGAGCUAUGCUCAUGCCACUGCACUCAAGCUGGGACAACAGAGUGAAAUCCUCUCACAAAAAAAUAAAAAUUAAAAAAAUAAAUAAAAAACAUGAUAUUAAGGUCUGGAGACCCAAAUACUGCUAUGGUCCACCUGUCAAGAAAGGAUGUAUGGAAGUUGGGUGAUAGAUGAAGUCUUGUUUUAAGUUCAUCAUAGAGUGGGUCUAGUAAGAUCCCUGUGCUAAUUCCUCUUGUCUCAGAUUGUGGAGUGGUAACAGGUGUACUCAGUAAAUCAAUUAACCCCUGUAACGGCUCCCUGACCCGUGGAUGGAUGCUAUUAUGCAGGAUGGGUUAAAUAGAAGCUCCUGGAACUGCCCCCAUCCUGACCUCCAAGCCAAGAUAGGAAACCAAAAUCAAUACCAUAUUCCUGGGGGAAUUACAGAGAUUAAUGACUCAAUCAAAGACCAAAAAAAACACAUAAUGGGUGAUUUCUAUCAUAUUUUCCUUUAACUCAUCUGUUUGGUUAGCGCAACAGCCACAAGACUUGGAGAAUGACUGUGGAUUAUUUCAAAUCUAUUCAGGAGGUAAUGCUAUCUCAGCGGACAGUAGGUAGCAUUGCCUCUCCUCACCCAUGGCCAGUAUUCUACUAUUUAUUUACCAUAUACUUUUGUUUAUUGCUAUCAGCAAAGAGAAUCUGAAGUAGUUUGCCUUCAUGGAGCAGGAAGGGUAGUAAAUUUACUCUUUUAUCUCAGGGCUCUGUCAGCUCUAUUUCUGUCACAACAUAGUCCAGAGGAAACUUUAUCAUCUUGAUAUCUCACAGAGCAUCCUGUUGGUCUGCUGUAUCAAUAAGGUUAUAUUAACUGGACCUGGUGAGUGAGAAGUAGCUAAUUACUCUAGAUGCCACAAUAAAAUAUAUGCAUGCUGGAGCAUGGAAAAUACACCCGCCGAGGGGCUUGCCACAGUAGGGAUGUUUCUCUGGACAUCCACAAACGGGGGCACGUUCACAUGGCUCCCCUAAAAUGAGAAGUAAGUUGCUUCACUUUCUACUUUGCACUGUGAAGAAAGGGGUACGAUGCUCUUUUGAUUUUAGAGGCAACAUAUACCACGUUUGGGUGUGCUGCUCUGACCCACGUACUGGGUCCGUUCUGAGUGGGGUUCAAUGAGAAGACUCUCCAGCAAGUUAAGGCUGUGGUUCAAAAAUGCCCAGCCUGGCCACUCCUGUGGUUCCAGCACUUUGGGAUACCAAGGUGGGCACAUAUGCUUGAGUUCAGGAGUUUGAGACCAGCCUGGGUGACACAGCAAAACCACAUCUCUACCAAAAAAUAUAAAAAACUAGCCGGGUGUGGUGGCACGCACCUGUAGUUCCAGCUACGUAGCGGGCUGAGAUGGGAGGAUCUCUUGAGCCUGGGAGGUGGAGAUUGCAGUGAGCUGAGAUUGCAACCACUGCACUCCAGCCUGGGUGACAGAGAGACACUCUGUCUCAAAAAUAAAAUAAAAUGAAAAUUAAAUUAAAUUAAAGUUUAAAAAUCCCAAAAUGUCCUGCCAGUUGGGCCUUAUGACUUAGCAGAUCUGGUGUCUGUGGCACACAGAGAUGCUGCAGGAAGCCUCUGAUAAGACCCAAUAGAACAAUCAUAGCCCAGACCCUCACAGUUUCAGGGUAAGGACAUGCUCUCUUCUCCUGACAUCUCUGCUCUCUUUGAAAAACAGCUCCUUGCUUACUUCUGGGUCCUGGUAAAGAUUGAAUGAAUGUCUUAUUAUGGGAUACUAAUUAGCCCCGUGUCCCAAAUUACCCAUCAUGAAUUAGAUGUUAUUUGACAUACAGAAUCAUACAAUCGGACAUGUGCAGCAGCAUUGAAAUAUUAAGUGGAAGUGAGACACUCAAGACCAGGCCAAGGAGCUCUGGAAGGCACAAAUAAUUGCAUGAUAACUCAGACUCCCAUUGUACCUGAGCUAAUGUGUUGCUACCUCUCAUUCAACUUACACUAAAGGCCACUUGGGUAUUCUUUCUGUUUUUUCUUUUUAAGGUAAAAUGGUUGUUUUAUUCAUUGAACUUAAACCAGCAAAGCUAGUAAAGUGUCUGCAUGAUGUAGCAAAUACAAGAUCUCUUUCUACAAAUAUUAGCAUAAUCAGUAAAUUAGGGGCUAGAGUAAAACAGAGCCAAAAGGGGCUGAGGAAAUCAAUAAAGUAUGUUACAGCUUAACCCUUCACCUCAAUCAUUGAGUUUUUAAAAAAAAUAAGUAAAGCUUCCCUAUCCCAGAAAAUGGGAAUAUACCUUCAUUACACCAAUUUGUACUUUUAUUUCCUAUUCUUGAGGUUAGAGUCUAAAUCCUAAAGAUAUCCAAACCAGUAUUAGAUCUACUUCGCUAUAGUCAGAGAUAGCUUCUAUCCUGUUGCCCUUAGCAGUCAAGGUCAUUAAAAUGUCUUUUCUCCAGAAACAUCCAAUAGGAAAAAAGAAAGAAACCUCUCUGAUUAGGCUCCAACCAUACCCUACCCUCGACCAAAUCGACUGGAUAGGCAUAAUGGAAACCAGAGCACAUGGUUUCCAAACCAGAAAAAUCCUAUGGGCAAGGGGAGGAGAGGAGAGGAAGGAUUCAGCCUGAAUGAAAUUGAGUAAUAUCAAUUUCACUCGUCUUCACCCAUCUUCAGGCUGCAUGUUUGCGGAGUAGUUUAGGAAUAAAUCCAUGGUUUGUGGAGCACUAGAAAACCUA